Non-coding RNA from Drosophila melanogaster (fruit fly), 1978 nucleotides. NCBI's taxonomy places the organism in Eukaryota, Metazoa, Arthropoda, Insecta, Diptera, Drosophilidae. The record is from Ensembl.
CAAGCAGUUAAAAAAGAUAGCCAAUUUAUUUAUAUCCUGUAAUAAAAGUAAUAAAUAAAAGCGACAGUCUUCAGCGUUACCCACACCCUAUGUUCUCUAACAAUAAGUUGAUCGAUCAUACAUCAUAAACCAUCUAGUUCUUCAGCGGAAAUGGAGGCACCCAGCCGCCAAAAGUGCGCUCCAGUUCCUCGGCAACCGCCAGGCAAAGGCGAUCGUUGUUCGGAUUGGCCACCACUUGGAUGCCCAGCGGCAUGCCCUUGGAGUCCAGACCCAUGGGCACCUGGGUGGCCGGCAAGUGGAGCACAUUGAAGAGGCUGAAGUACGCGAAGUCAUUGAACUUGACCAGAGGAUAGUAGUGGAAUGGUGCAGUCCUGGGAGAACUGUGAAAGAACAGCACACCAUCGUCGCCGAGCAAGUCCUGGACGGACUUCUUGCACUUGGCCGUGGCUUCCCUCAUCAGCUUCUCCUUUUCCUUGGGCAGCACACUGUCGAUCAGACCAUAAAUGGCCGCCAUGCUGUAGUCACUUUGCCCCAGUAUCUUCUUGAAGAGCUCCACAAAUGGAUUGAGCUCGGCGCCAUUGCCCAACAGCAGAUUGAAGUUGGCCGGUUCCUGGGUCAUCCAAUAGCGCCACAUCUUUCCGGUCAGCUUGGUAUAGGGCAAGUCAGCGUGCCGCACGUCCUUUCCACUCACUGCCUCGAAAUGUUUGCGAAUCUUGUACAUAACCCGUUCGGUUUCCCGGUUAAUAGGAUUGCACUGAGCCAUGCCAUUGGAGGACACAUAGAAGUAACGCAGCCGCUUCAGAUCCACCUUCUGAUCCAGUUUUAGCUUGGCUUUCAACGAUGGCUCCACCAGAACCUGCAUCAUGGGCAGUAGAUCCCGCGCAGAACGACUCAUUGGACCGGCACAUACCAUCGUAUCCUUUUCCUUGCCCGUUCUGAACGUACAUCCGGCCAUAUUGACCGCACCGGAAGUGGGUUUGUGCCCGAAGAUGCCGCAAUUGAAGGCCGGUAUGCGUAUGGAACCACCAAUGUCUGUUCCCAAACCAAAACCCGUGCAGCAGGCAGCGAUCAGAGCGGCUUCACCACCCGAAGAACCGCCGACGGAACGCCGCAGAUCGUAGGGAUUGUUGGUGCAGCCGAUUAGCAUGUUCCUCGACUCAAUCCACUUGUUCACCUCCGGCACAUUGCUGGUGGCGAUGAUAAUGGCGCCACUUUCCUUCAUCAGGCGCACGCAUUCCGCAUCCGUGGUCGAACGUUCCGAUUUCCUUGCUAGCAGGCCCAGUGUGUGUAGCCUCCCAGCCACAGCGGUGCUAUCCUUGGUGGAGAAGGGUACGCCUAGGAAGGGCAGGCGCCGCAGAUCCUCAUCGCUGUACUCCUUUUCGUCCAACUUGCGAUCGAUUUCGCGUGCCUGGUCCAAGGCCUCCGGAAACGGGCCAUCGACCACCGCAUUGAGAUCCCGAUUAACGCUCUCGAUUCGCUCACAGUAGGCCUUGACUAUGUCGUAACUGCGCUGCCUGCGUUCCCGUAUCUGUUGCGCCAACUCCACAGCGCUCUUCGUAAUCGUCGUCUGCUGUUCCAGGCUCGGUGGACCCGAUACCCGCUUGUGCUCGCCCAAAUACCAGUCCAGUACGAACUCCAGCAGGCGAUCGCUCAGGAUGUGGACCAGUGCCAGCAGGGCAUCAAGUACGUGGCUCCAAAAUGACAUGAUGACGCCGCUUCCAAUUUCUGAUGAGAUUUGCACUUUGCGCAAUGCAUAUGCAAACUGAAACCGAGCCAAAGACCACUGAGGUUGCGAUAAACCCAAGACGUUGCCACCCGAUAUGGAAGAAGAAGCUGGCGAGGAGAGCUUUGCCUCAAACCAGUUUCAGUAGCAGGUACAGUGGCCAACGGGUAAAAUGGAUUUUUUAUCUAGUUUACGAAAUGGGGGUGUGGAAACAUCUGAAAUAUUUGUUUUCUUAAGCUUGUUUAUGUUGAAAAU